CUGCAUGUAGCUUGAAUAUACGUGCAUGCCAAGAAACACUACUGCAAAGACUACAGAAGAAGACAUCAAUACUUAAAAUUCAUUCUGCAAACGAUGGUGAUGUGUUCUCGUCCGCCCGGAAGAACUCACCGGGGCCGCCUCCUUCUACUACUACUUGCUGCCAUCUUCAUACUUGCUUCCGGGAGCGGACCACGCAGCUCGGUUACUACAGCUCGUCCUCCUCCGGUAUAUCGCUGGCCUCCAUGAAAUUUGAUAUGCACAUGCUACACACUACUGGAGAAAGUGCAAUAUGUACUAGUUAGCAAUGCAACUGGCUACAGUACCAACGAUGUGGAUAUCUAUAACUAAAAACCCAAAUCAUUAGUCCGAGUUGUAUAGAUCAUAUACUAAAUAGUGAACUUUAGUACUUGUUUUUGGCUUGAAUAUGUACUAAAGGAUCCGUUUUUAGUACCAGUUCUAUUAGAAAAUAGUAAUUACAUGUAUAGAGUAGUUGGCACCGA
RNAcentral lists this unclassified non-coding RNA (500 nucleotides) under Zea mays. Its description in RNAcentral is "misc RNA Zm00001eb031080". Lineage: Eukaryota; Viridiplantae; Streptophyta; Magnoliopsida; Poales; Poaceae. The record is from RNAcentral.